AACGAACGCUGGCGGCAUGCCUAACACACGCAAGUCGAACGAGACCUUCGGGUCUAGUGGCGCACGGGUGCGUAACGCGUGGGAACCUGCCCUUAGGUUCGGAAUAACUCCCCGAAAGGGGUGCUAAUACCGGAUAAUGUCUUCGGACCAAAGAUUUAUCGCCUUUGGAUGGGCCCGCGUUGGAUUAGCUAGUUGGUAGGGUAAAAGCCUACCAAGGCGACGAUCCAUAGCUGGUCUGAGAGGAUUAUCAGCCACACUGGGACUGAGACACGGCCCAGACUCCUACGGGAGGCAGCAGUGGGGAAUAUUGGACAAUGGGCGAAAGCCUGAUCCAGCAAUGCCGCGUGAGUGAUGAAGGCCUUAGGGUUGUAAAGCUCUUUUACCCGGGAUGAUAAUGACAGUACCGGGAGAAUAAGCUCCGGCUAACUCCGUG
This 433-nucleotide ribosomal RNA is filed under the name uncultured bacterium. Its description in RNAcentral is "partial 16S ribosomal RNA". It matches the Rfam family "Bacterial small subunit ribosomal RNA", at positions 29 to 507 of the family's 1533-position model. The record is from RNAcentral.